Molecule: ribosomal RNA, 253 nt
Filed under: uncultured bacterium
Lineage: Bacteria
Description: partial 16S ribosomal RNA
Rfam family: Bacterial small subunit ribosomal RNA
Source: RNAcentral
UACGUGGGGGGCAAGCGUUGUUCGGAAUUACUGGGCGUAAAGGGCUCGUAGGCGGCCAACUAAGUCAGACGUGAAAUCCCUCGGCUUAACCGGGGAACUGCGUCUGAUACUGGAUGGCUUGAGUUUGGGAGAGGGAUGCGGAAUUCCAGGUGUAGCGGUGAAAUGCGUAGAUAUCUGGAGGAACACCGGUGGCGAAGGCGGCGCGCUGGACCUCUUCUGACGCUGAGGCGCGAAAGCCAGGGGAGCAAACGGG